Molecule: ribosomal RNA, 2859 nt
Filed under: Moraxella catarrhalis
Lineage: Bacteria; Pseudomonadati; Pseudomonadota; Gammaproteobacteria; Moraxellales; Moraxellaceae
Description: bacterial LSU rRNA
Rfam family: Bacterial large subunit ribosomal RNA
Source: RNAcentral
GGUCAAGUAAUGAAGUGCACAUGGUGGAUGCCUUGGCAGUCAGAGGCGAAGAAAGACGUGAUAGCCUGCGAUAAGCGUCGGUGAGGUGGCAAUAUCCUGUGACCCGGCGAUUUCUGAAUGGGGAAACCCAACCAACAUAAGUUGGUUAUUACACAGUUUACUGUGUAAGGCAAACCGGGAGAAGUGAAACAUCUCAGUACCCCGAGGAAAAGACAUCAAAUGAGAUUCCGUAAGUAGCGGCGAGCGAACACGGAGGAGCCGAUCAAUUUUACAGUAGCAAAAUGGCGUGGGAAAGCCAACCAUAGUAGGUGAUAGUCCUGUAUGCGAAACUGUUUAAGCGACAUAUUAAGUAGGGCGGAACACGAGAAAUUCUGUCUGAAGAUGGGGGGACCAUCCUCCAAGGCUAAAUACUCCUGACUGACCGAUAGUGAACCAGUACCGUGAGGGAAAGGCGAAAAGAACCCCUGUUAGGGGAGUGAAAUAGAACCUGAAACCGUGUGCAUACAAGCAGUCGGAGCGGACUUGUUCCGUGACGGCGUACCUUUUGUAUAAUGGGUCAGCGACUUAUAUUCUGUAGCAAGGUUAACCGAAUAGGGGAGCCGUAGGGAAACCGAGUCUUAAUAGGGCGAAUGAGUUGCAGGGUAUAGACCCGAAACCGAGUGAUCUAUCCAUGAGCAGGUUGAAAGUGCCGUAACAGGCACCGGAGGACCGAACCCACUGUCGUUGAAAAGCCAGGGGAUGACUUGUGGAUAGGGGUGAAAGGCUAAUCAAACUCGGUGAUAGCUGGUUCUCCCCGAAAGCUAUUUAGGUAGCGCCUCGGACGAACACCAUUGGGGGUAGAGCACUGUUUCGGCUAGGGGGUCACACCGACUUACCAAACCGAUGCAAACUCCGAAUACCGAUGAGUGAUAUCCGGGAGACAGACGGCGGGUGCUAACGUCCGUCGUCAAGAGGGAAACAACCCAGACCGCCAGCUAAGGCCCCAAAUUCCUAGUUAAGUGGGAAACGAUGUGGGAAGGCACAGACAGCUAGGAGGUUGGCUUAGAAGCAGCCACCCUUUAAAGAAAGCGUAAUAGCUCACUAGUCGAGUCGGCCUGCGCGGAAGAUGUAACGGGGCUCAAACUAGGAGCCGAAGCUGCGGAUUUAAUUGUUUCAAUUAAGUGGUAGGGGAGCGUUGUGUAAGCCUGUGAAGGUGCACUGUAAGGUGUGCUGGAGGUAUCACAAGAGCGAAUGCUGACGUGAGUAACGACAAAACGGGUGAAAAGCCCGUUCGCCGGAAGACCAAGGGUUCCAGUCCAACGUUAAUCGGGGCUGGGUGAGUCGACCCCUAAGGCGAGGCCGAAAGGCGUAGUCGAUGGGAAAUCGGUUAAUAUUCCGAUACUUGUUUAUGAUGCGAUGGAGGGACGGAGAAGGUUAUGCCAGCCUGGCGAUGGUUGUCCAGGUGGAAGGAUGUAGUUAGACUGAGUAGGCAAAUCCGCUCGGUUAUUAAUGAGAUCUGAUAGCAAGCCAGUUUACUGGCAAAGUGGCAAAUACCCUGCUUCCAGGAAAAGCUUCUAAGCGAUAGUCAUAAACGAAUCGUACCCGAAACCGACACAGGUGGUCAGGUAGAGAAUACCAAGGCGCUUGAGAGAACUCUGCUGAAGGAACUAGGCAAAAUGGUACCGUAACUUCGGGAGAAGGUACGCUGCCGAUGGUGAUGAAACUUGCUUUCUGAGCUGUUGGCAGUCGCAGAUACCAGGCUGCUGCAACUGUUUAUUAAAAACACAGCACUCUGCAAACACGAAAGUGGACGUAUAGGGUGUGAUGCCUGCCCGGUGCUGGAAGGUUAAUUGAUGGGGUUAGCGUAAGCGAAGCUCUUGAUCGAAGCCCCAGUAAACGGCGGCCGUAACUAUAACGGUCCUAAGGUAGCGAAAUUCCUUGUCGGGUAAGUUCCGACCUGCACGAAUGGCAUAAUGAUGGCAGCGCUGUCUCCAGCAGAGACUCAGUGAAAUCGAAAUCGCAGUGAAGAUGCUGUGUACCCGCGGCUAGACGGAAAGACCCCGUGAACCUUUACUACAGCUUUACAUUGAACUUUGACCUAACUUGUGUAGGAUAGGUGGGAGGCUUUGAAGCAGAUACGCCAGUAUUUGUGGAGCCAACCUUGAAAUACCACCCUGGUUAUGUUGGGGUUCUAACUUGAGAUUAACAGAUCUAAGGACAAUGUAUGGUGGGUAGUUUGACUGGGGCGGUCUCCUCCUAAAGAGUAACGGAGGAGUACGAAGGUGCGCUCAGAACGGUCGGAAAUCGUUCAAAGAGUAUAAAGGCAAAAGCGCGCUUAACUGCGAGACCCACAAGUCGAGCAGGUACGAAAGUAGGUCUUAGUGAUCCGGUGGUUCUGUAUGGAAGGGCCAUCGCUCAACGGAUAAAAGGUACUCUGGGGAUAACAGGCUGAUACCGCCCAAGAGUUCAUAUCGACGGCGGUGUUUGGCACCUCGAUGUCGGCUCAUCUCAUCCUGGGGCUGAAGCAGGUCCCAAGGGUAUGGCUGUUCGCCAUUUAAAGAGGUACGCGAGCUGGGUUUAGAACGUCGUGAGACAGUUCGGUCCCUAUCUACCGUGGGCGUUGGAAAUUUGAGAGGAUCUGCUCCUAGUACGAGAGGACCAGAGUGGACGAACCUCUGGUGUUUCGGUUGUCACGCCAGUGGCAUUGCCGAGUAGCUACGUUCGGAUGGGAUAACCGCUGAAAGCAUCUAAGCGGGAAGCCCACCUCAAGAUGAGAUUUCCCUAAAGAGCCGUUGUAGACUACGACGUUGAUAGGUUGGGUGUGGAAGUGUAGUGAUACAUGUAGCUAACCAAUACUAAUUGCUCGUUUGGCUUGACCAU